AGAGCCCAGUAGCUGCGUCUUAACCCGUUCAGGUUUUGGGAUGAUAUUUAGUUAGUGCCCCUUUGCCAACCCUGCAUUGUUGUUACGUCGCCGCGUACUUACCGAUGGAAGUGUGGACGAAGACGCUGUUAGACAUCAAGGCAUGAAAUAAAAUUUUAACCUGGUGGUAAAAAGCCCAAAUUUACAGAUGCCACUGUCAACCCCCAGCAAGUUUUUCAGCUUCUUCAUAUCGGCGACAAUGCUGUUGGAGUCGAUGUUGUCAUAUAGAGUCUUUGAUGUAAUUGUCUGACUGAAGAUCAUAACCAAUUUUUGGUGCAUGGGCGUUCCACUUAAAACGAGGCAAAUGAGAGUGAAAUGCGAAAAUUUUCACAUUCAACACAUGAUGAUAGCCAGCCAGUCUUUGAUUUUGAACAUGGUCCAUCUUGAGCUUUUGCAUAUGAUAUCUCAUUUUCUCAUGUCAGCAACAACAGUUGGUGGUCAGCUGCAUUUGAUUUUUCAAAAAGAUUCUGAAUUCU
RNAcentral lists this small RNA (515 nucleotides) under Histoplasma ohiense. Its description in RNAcentral is "hypothetical lncRNA". The record is from RNAcentral. Lineage: Eukaryota; Fungi; Ascomycota; Eurotiomycetes; Onygenales; Ajellomycetaceae.